AUUGAACGCUGGCGGCAUGCCUUACACAUGCAAGUCGAACGGUAACAGGGAGCUUGCUCCGCUGACGAGUGGCGAACGGGUGAGUAAUAUAUCGGAACGUACCAUUGAGUGGGGGAUAACGUAGCGAAAGUUGCGCUAAUACCGCAUAUUCUCUCCGGAGGAAAGCAGGGGACCGCAAGGCCUUGCGCUCAUUGAGCGGCCGAUAUCAGAUUAGCUAGUUGGUGGGGUAAAAGCUCACCAAGGCGACGAUCUGUAGCGGGUCUGAGAGGAUGAUCCGCCACACUGGAACUGAGACACGGUCCAGACUCCUACGGGAGGCAGCAGUGGGGAAUUUUGGACAAUGGGGGCAACCCUGAUCCAGCCAUGCCGCGUGAGUGAAGAAGGCCUUCGGGUUGUAAAGCUCUUUCAGCCGGGAAGAAAACGCAUUGGUUAAUACCUGGUGUGGAUGACGGUACCGGAAUAAGAAGCACCGGCUAACUACGUG
Molecule: ribosomal RNA, 484 nt
Filed under: uncultured bacterium
Lineage: Bacteria
Description: bacterial SSU rRNA
Rfam family: Bacterial small subunit ribosomal RNA
Source: RNAcentral